This 67-nucleotide transfer RNA is filed under the name Microcebus simmonsi (Simmons' mouse lemur). RNAcentral's name for it is "tRNA-Pro". The record is from RNAcentral. Lineage: Eukaryota; Metazoa; Chordata; Mammalia; Primates; Cheirogaleidae.
CAGGGAAUAGUUUAAUUAGAAUUUCAGCUUUGGGUGUUGAAGGUGAAGCUUGUAGUUUCUUCCUUGA